GACGAACGCUGGCGGCAUGCCUAACACAUGCAAGUCGAGCGAGCAGAUCCCUUCGGGGUGAAGCUAGCGGCGGACGGGUGAGUAACACGUGGGCAACCUGCCUCAUAGAGGGGAAUAGCCUUCCGAAAGGAAGAUUAAUACCGCAUAAGAUUGUAGCUUCGCAUGAAGCAGCAAUUAAAGGAGCAAUCCGCUAUGAGAUGGGCCCGCGUCGCAUUAGCUAGUUGGUGAGGUAACGGCUCACCAAGGCGACGAUGCGUAGCCGACCUGAGAGGGUGAUCGGCCACAUUGGGACUGAGACACGGCCCAGACUCCUACGGGAGGCAGCAGUGGGGAAUAUUGCACAAUGGGGGAAACCCUGAUGCAGCAAUGCCGCGUGAGUGAUGACGGCCUUCGGGAUGUAAAGCUCUGUCUUCGGGGACGAUAAUGACGGUACCCGAGGAGGAAGCCACGGCUAACUACGUGCCAGCCGCCGCCGUAA
Molecule: ribosomal RNA, 478 nt
Filed under: uncultured bacterium
Lineage: Bacteria
Description: partial 16S ribosomal RNA
Rfam family: Bacterial small subunit ribosomal RNA
Source: RNAcentral